GAUGAAUGCUGGCGGCGCGCCUAACACAUGCAAGUCGAGCGGUAACAUGGACUUCGGUCUGAUGACGAGCGGCGGACGGCUGAGUAACGCGUGGGAACAUGCCCCAAAGUGAGGAAUAAGCUCCAGAAAUGGAGUCUAAUGCCGCAUAUGAUCUUCGGAUUAAAGGAUUUAUCCGCUUUGGGAGUGGCCUGCGUAUGAUU
This 200-nucleotide ribosomal RNA is filed under the name uncultured bacterium. RNAcentral describes it as "partial 16S ribosomal RNA". It matches the Rfam family "Bacterial small subunit ribosomal RNA", at positions 28 to 242 of the family's 1533-position model. The record is from RNAcentral.